GCAGCCGCGGUAAUACGGAGGAUGCGAGCGUUAUCCGGAUUUAUUGGGUUUAAAGGGUGCGUAGGCGGAAGUUUAAGUCAGUGGUUAAACUGCGGGGCUCAACCCCGUAUCGCCAUUGAAACUGGAUUUCUCGAGUGGGUGAGAAGUACGCGGAAUGCGUGGUGUAGCGGUGAAAUGCAUAGAUAUCACGCAGAACUCCGAUUGCGAAGGCAGCGUACCGGCGCCCAACUGACGCUGAAGCACGAAAGCGUGGGUAUCGAACAGGAUUAGAUACCCC
This 277-nucleotide ribosomal RNA is filed under the name uncultured Blautia sp. RNAcentral's name for it is "partial 16S ribosomal RNA". It matches the Rfam family "Bacterial small subunit ribosomal RNA", at positions 511 to 788 of the family's 1533-position model. The record is from RNAcentral. Lineage: Bacteria; Bacillati; Bacillota; Clostridia; Lachnospirales; Lachnospiraceae.